RNAcentral lists this ribosomal RNA (463 nucleotides) under uncultured bacterium. RNAcentral describes it as "bacterial SSU rRNA". It matches the Rfam family "Bacterial small subunit ribosomal RNA", at positions 64 to 507 of the family's 1533-position model. The record is from RNAcentral.
GAGCGGUAACGCGGGAGCAAUCCUGGCGACGAGCGGCGAACGGGUGAGUAACGCUUCGGAAUCUGCCCAGUAGUGGGGAAUAACCAGCCGAAAGGUUGGCUAAUGCCGCAUACGACCCCUUUCCUGACUGGAGAGGGUUGAAAGCGGGGGAUCGUAAGACCUCGCGCUAUCGGAUGAGCCGAAGUCGGAUUAGCUAGUUGGUAGGGUAACGGCCUACCAAGGCGACAAUCCGUAGCUGGUCUGAGAGGACGACCAGCCACACUGGGACUGAGACACGGCCCAGACUCCUACGGGAGGCAGCAGUGGGGAAUAUUGGACAAUGGGGGCAACCCUGAUCCAGCGACGCCGCGUGUGUGAAGAAGGCCUGCGGGUUGUAAAGCACUUUUAGUGGGGAUGAAAAGCUCAGGGCUAAUAACUCUGGGUCUUGACCUAACCCACAGAAAAAGCACCGGCUAACUCUGUG